This 148-nucleotide signal recognition particle RNA is filed under the name Nomascus leucogenys (northern white-cheeked gibbon). RNAcentral describes it as "Metazoan signal recognition particle RNA". It matches the Rfam family "Metazoan signal recognition particle RNA". From Rfam's summary of the family: The signal recognition particle (SRP) is a universally conserved ribonucleoprotein. It is involved in the co-translational targeting of proteins to membranes. Lineage: Eukaryota; Metazoa; Chordata; Mammalia; Primates; Hylobatidae. The record is from Rfam by way of RNAcentral.
GCCGGGCAUGGUGGUGUGUGCCUGUAGUCCCAACUACUUGGGAGGCUGAGACAGGAGAAUUGCUUGAACCCGGGAGGCUGAGAAUGCAGUGAGCCAAGAUCGCGCCAUUGCACUCCAGCCUGGGUAAUAGAGCGAGAUUCUGUCUUAA